Molecule: ribosomal RNA, 425 nt
Filed under: uncultured bacterium
Lineage: Bacteria
Description: partial 16S ribosomal RNA
Rfam family: Bacterial small subunit ribosomal RNA
Source: RNAcentral
GUGGGGAAUCUUGCGCAAUGGGCGAAAGCCUGACGCAGCCAUGCCGCGUGAAUGAUGAAGGUCUUAGGAUUGUAAAAUUCUUUCACCGGGGACGAUAAUGACGGUACCCGGAGAAGAAGCUCCGGCUAACUUCGUGCCAGCAGCCGCGGUAAUACGAAGGGGGCUAGCGUUGCUCGGAAUUACUGGGCGUAAAGGGCGCGUAGGCGGACAGCUUAGUCAGAGGUGAAAGCCCAGGGCUCAACCUUGGAAUUGCCUUUGAUACUGGCUGUCUUGAGUUUGGGAGAGGUGAGUGGAACUCCGAGUGUAGAGGUGAAAUUCGUAGAUAUUCGGAAGAACACCAGUGGCGAAGGCGACUCACUGGCCCAAUACUGACGCUGAGGCGCGAAAGCGUGGGGAGCAAACAGGAUUAGAAACCCGAGUAGUUC